GCCUGGCUGGCUCAGUCAGAAGAGUGUGCAACUCUUGAUCUCGGGGUAUGGGUUCAAGCCCCAUGCUAGGUA
This 72-nucleotide transfer RNA is filed under the name Ailuropoda melanoleuca (giant panda). It matches the Rfam family "tRNA". From Rfam's summary of the family: Transfer RNA (tRNA) molecules are approximately 80 nucleotides in length. RNAcentral also lists the same sequence under 1 other name. Lineage: Eukaryota; Metazoa; Chordata; Mammalia; Carnivora; Ursidae. The record is from Rfam by way of RNAcentral.